Molecule: ribosomal RNA, 286 nt
Filed under: uncultured Anoxybacillus sp.
Lineage: Bacteria; Bacillati; Bacillota; Bacilli; Caryophanales; Anoxybacillaceae
Description: partial 16S ribosomal RNA
Rfam family: Bacterial small subunit ribosomal RNA
Source: RNAcentral
GCGCAACCCUCGACCUUAGUUGCCAGCAUUCGAGUUGGGCACUCUAAGGUGACUGCCGGCUAAAAGUCGGAGGAAGGUGGGGAUGACGUCAAAUCAUCAUGCCCCUUAUGACCUGGGCUACACACGUGCUACAAUGGGCGGUACAAAGGGUCGCGAACCCGCGAGGGGGAGCCAAUCCCAAAAAGCCGCUCUCAGUUCGGAUUGCAGGCUGCAACUCGCCUGCAUGAAGCCGGAAUCGCUAGUAAUCGCGGAUCAGCAUGCCGCGGUGAAUACGUUCCCGGGCCUU